Molecule: non-coding RNA, 498 nt
Organism: Talpa occidentalis (Iberian mole)
Lineage: Eukaryota; Metazoa; Chordata; Mammalia; Eulipotyphla; Talpidae
Source: the annotation of a RefSeq genome assembly
AUGGCACCCUCCAGCCUGCUGUGGGCCCUGGUGGCCUUCAUCUAUUCUGGAUCCAGUGUGGCCCAGAAAGUUAUUCAAGACCAGCAAGCUAUAGCCAAGGAAGAGGGGUUGAAAGUCACCCUAAAGUGUCGGUAUGAAAAAAGACCGGGAGACUACAAACUUUACUGGUACAAGCAGCUUCCUGAUGGAAAGAUGACUUUCAUUAUUCAUCACUAUUCUUCUAAAAACAGUGCAGUAAAGGGUCGCUAUUCUAUAAAGUUCCAGAAAGCACACAAAUCCAUCUCCCUCACCAUUUCACCCUUGCAACUGGAAGAUUCAGCAAUGUACUUCUGUAUUAUCCUGGAACCCACUGUGCUUGAGGUGAUAGUAAAAGCUGAACAAAAACCCCAGAGCUCAGUAAGAGCAAGAGCCCUGAUCAGCAUCCAAGCUAAAUCACACCUGCAUGUACCAGACAGGCAAUGGCAGAGACUGUGGAUGUUUCUUCUGUGGUCAGGAUAA